RNAcentral lists this ribosomal RNA (451 nucleotides) under uncultured bacterium. Its description in RNAcentral is "partial 16S ribosomal RNA". It matches the Rfam family "Bacterial small subunit ribosomal RNA", at positions 28 to 507 of the family's 1533-position model. The record is from RNAcentral.
GAUGAACGCUGGCGGCGUGCCUAACACAUGCAAGUCGAGCGGCAGCGAGGGGUGCUUGCUCUCUGUCGGCUAGCGGCGGACGGCUGAGUAACGCGUGGAAACGCGCCCCAAAGUAAGGAAUUACUGCCCGAAAGCGUAGCUAAUACCGCGUAUUAUCUUCGAACCAAAGGAUUUAUACGUUUUGGGAGGGGUUCGCGUCGGUUUUGGUGGUUUGUGCGGUAAUUGGGCACCAAGCUGACGAUCCGUAGCUCGUAGGUGAGGAUGCACAGCCAGACUGGAACUGAGACACGGUACGGACUCCUACGGGAGGGAGCAGUGACUGACCGUGCACAAUGGGCUAAAGCCUGAUGGAGCAACGCCGCGUGAAGGACGAAGGCAUUGGAGUUGUAAACUGCUAUUAUAAGUGAGGAAUAUGACGGUAACUAAUGAAUAAGGAACGGCUAACUACGUG